This 253-nucleotide ribosomal RNA is filed under the name uncultured bacterium. RNAcentral's name for it is "partial 16S ribosomal RNA". It matches the Rfam family "Bacterial small subunit ribosomal RNA", at positions 524 to 776 of the family's 1533-position model. The record is from RNAcentral.
UACGAGGGGGGCAAAUGUUGUUCGGAAUCACUGGGCGUAAAGGGAGCGUAGGCGGGUUUCUAAGUCAGGUGUUUAAUCCCGGGGCCCAACCCCGGACAGGCACUUGAAACUGGGAAUCUUGAAUAGGGGAGAGGUCGGUGGAAUUGGAGGUGUAGCGGUGGAAUGCGUAGAGAUCUCCAAGAACACCAGUUGCGAAGGCGGCCGACUGGACCCAUAUUGACGCUGAGGCUCGAAAGCAUGGGGAGCAAACAGG